Molecule: transfer RNA, 73 nt
Filed under: Acanthaster planci (crown-of-thorns starfish)
Lineage: Eukaryota; Metazoa; Echinodermata; Asteroidea; Valvatida; Acanthasteridae
Description: tRNA-Thr
Rfam family: tRNA
About the family: Transfer RNA (tRNA) molecules are approximately 80 nucleotides in length.
Source: Rfam by way of RNAcentral
GGCUGGAUAGCUCAGUUGGUAGAGCACUGGUGCGGUGUUCCAGAGGUUGCAGGUUCAAAUCCCGCUCCAGUCA